GCAACGAGCGCAACCCUUUGUCCUUAGUUACCAUCAUUAAGUUGGGGACUCUAAGGAGACUACCGGUGAUAAACCGGAGGAAGGUGGGGACGACGUCAAGUCAUCAUGGCCCUUAUGACCGGGGGCUACACACGUACUACAAUGGUCGGUACAGACGGUCGCAAGCUCGCGAGAGUAAGCUAAUCCGAGAAAACCGAUCGUAGUCCGGAUCGCAGUCUGCAACUCGACUGCGUGAAGUCGGAAUCGCUAGUAAUCGCAAAUCAGAAUGUUGCGGUGAAUACGUUCCCGGGCCUU
Molecule: ribosomal RNA, 294 nt
Filed under: uncultured Thiovirga sp.
Lineage: Bacteria; Pseudomonadati; Pseudomonadota; Gammaproteobacteria; Chromatiales; Halothiobacillaceae
Description: partial 16S ribosomal RNA
Rfam family: Bacterial small subunit ribosomal RNA
Source: RNAcentral